ACUACGGGAGGCAGCAGUGAGGAAUAUUGGUCAAUGGGCGGAAGCCUGAACCAGCCAAGUAGCGUGCAGGAUGACGGCCCUACGGGUUGUAAACUGCUUUUAUACGGGAAUAACGCGCCUUACGUGUAGGGCUUUGCAUGUACCGUAUGAAUAAGGACCGGCUAAUUCCGUGCCAGCAGCCGCGGUAAUACGGAAGGUCCGGGCGUUAUCCGGAUUUAUUGGGUUUAAAGGGAGCGUAGGCCGCAUGUCAAGCGUGCUGUGAAAUGUCCGGGCUCAACCCGGGCCUUGCAGCGCGAACUGGCGUGCUUGAGUCCGCGGAAAGCAGGCGGAAUGCGUCGUGUAGCGGUGAAAUGCUUAGAUAUGACGAAGAACCCCGAUUGCGAAGGCAGCUUGCUGCAGCGGAACUGACGCUGAUGCUCGAAAGCGCGGGUAUCGAACAGGAUUAGAUACCCUUGUAGUC
RNAcentral lists this ribosomal RNA (460 nucleotides) under uncultured bacterium. RNAcentral's name for it is "partial 16S ribosomal RNA". It matches the Rfam family "Bacterial small subunit ribosomal RNA", at positions 338 to 795 of the family's 1533-position model. The record is from RNAcentral.